Apis cerana (Asiatic honeybee) is the source of this 7231-nucleotide RNA transcript. RefSeq lists it as uncharacterized. The record is from RefSeq and is a predicted model, not a curated record. Lineage: Eukaryota; Metazoa; Arthropoda; Insecta; Hymenoptera; Apidae.
GUAGUUCAGUUUGCUUUCGUAAGUCCUUGUGGAAGGUUCGUGUUAGUACUCUAUAUGGAUCGUUUCAACGCGUAUUGUUUCUCUGUCUUUCGAUAUAAUUUGAUACGAUCAGGAUCAGUUUUUCAUUUCCAAAUGUAACGAAUAAAAGAUUAAUUGUAUGCCAACGAUUCAGUGUAUGUGAUUGUGAAACAGAGAUCAGUAAGUGAUGAAAGUUAAUGCAUUCUAUCGCGUGUAAAGUGUCAAAUGCCAGUGGACAAUGAAUAUAAUGAUACAAAAUUGGAUCCUUUAUAGUUUAUUUCUGCUGAGAUACGUUCAAGAUCAAGUUCAAGAGAGACAGAGAGUAAAUUACCGACCAGAAAGUGACCAGAUGCCAAGCGAAUUAGGUCAUCAGGAUCGAAUGAUAAGGGACUUAAGAAGCUGGAAUUAAAAACUGCCUCUAUUUAUAUCAAGACAACAUCGCGUCCUCGGUUACUCGCUUGAUAAGUUUUCAUUGAUUUAAUAGAAUUCUCCCACAAACGUCCGAAAUGAAGUGUGCAAAGGACCAUAUGCCACAUUUCUUUAUUUAAAAAAAAUUGUGUGACUUUUAAAUUUCUUUCCUUGUUCAAAAUAAGCUUUUUAAAUUCAAAUAAUUUAUUUCCUGCUCCAAUAAAAUUGAUUCCAUUAUUCGAAUAGCUAUAGAUAUAAUAGAUAUUGUGGUAUAAUUCUCAGCGUACAAUAAAUUUUCCUUAAGCAGUUUAAGAAUGCAUCCAUAGAAAGAUUAAUGGCUAAUUCAAUAUGAACUACCUUUAUUAUGAAAUAAGCAGAUACGAAUAAGCAGAUGCAAUUUAGUAUUGAUUUUACGCAUCCUAUCCUUAAUUAAAUACGAACUUGUAUAGUCCAUGUUAUAGAUAACAAAAGGAUGUGCAAAAGCUAGGCAACAAGUAAAUUAGCCAUUAUUUGUGUUAUUGUGUUAUAUCUUGUUCUUCUUUUUAUUACUCUUAAAUACUUUAAAUAUUUCUGAAUGUUCUUUACUACUCUUUUAGCAGAUUGAAAAUUGUUUAGGCAACUACAAUUUGAUGAUUUGCAUACAACAAUCAUAAAUGUUCGUAAUCUAAUUAAUUUAUAGUCUGAAUGAAUAAUAAUCGUUUAUUUAUGUUCAAAUUUAAUCGGGACAUUGCUUAAUCUUAUCACCCAGUCUAAGAAAUACGAAAGUAUCUAAAAAUGGAUUUAAUUAGUCGACUAUAUUGGCCUUUGGAAUUUUUAAAUUGUUCUUCAAGUUCUGAAUUUUUAAAUGCGUUUGUUGUGAUAUUUUUAUCAGAGCUUCCUGAAUACAUGAAUUCGUAUGUAGAGAAUAAAUGUGUCAAAUUAUUCGUGAGUGGAUUUCCCUUACAUAUAUUUUUCCUUCGUAUAUUUUUAAUGAAUCGAAAACAAUAUGCAAUUACAUAAAAUAAUCGGCUAUAUAUAUAAUGAAAAUUUUGAAAACAGUUCUAUCUCCUUAUCUUCGAUUAUUGAAUAGGUGUAAUUAUAUUAUCUUUUCUCUGGUAAUUCAACGAUAUAGGAAUCUGUUUGUAGGCAUUGCAUGUAGUCCUAAAACAACUAUGAUCCAGUCCACCAUAGCGUUGUUGUAUGCAAUUCUGAUAGGAAAAUACCUUGAGAAAUCAUAUCGGUUCGUUGGAACAUGACUUUAAAUAAUAAUAAAUUUUAAUUGUUAUUUUUACAGUUCUAUUUGCGAAGGUCUUCCAUCAUGAUGGUAAUGCCUUAAUCCAGAAUAUUUCAAUCAUAGAAUCAGUCCUGCAGAAUUCUUGACUUAGAUUCUAAUCCAGCGUUAUACGCAUCUUUUCUUUGAGUUAUGCAAAUAGCAAAGCAUCGCAAAUUUCAAGUAUAGAGUAUAGAGUAAUUUUUUUAAUGAUUCUUGAGCAUAUAGGAAGUGUAUAUGCCAUUAUUCAUUGUCAUCUUGUAAACGAAGACAUCAUGUGUCUUUUCGAAGGCAUCACAAAGUCUGUAAUUCGAUUAUCCUAUAAUUGUGGCUCAUCUGGAGACCGCAAUAUUAUUAAUUAAGUUUAUUUCAGUCUAAAAUUUUAUCCAUGAAGUAUGAAUAUCCUGGAAGAUUUAUUCCAAGAAAUUUUUAAUUAUUAUAAUUGUUGUAGCAAUAAUUUUGCGUGUAGAAUAAUUACUCCUAAUAAACAUAUUCGAAGAAGAUGGCGUGUUUCAUAAACGCGAAAUCUAUUGGAAAGUUUUAUAAAGUAAUAGUUUAUCUUGAUGCGCAUUCUAGAAAAAUCCAGUGUUUUUGGAUUCAUUUUCUGAUUUGAUUUCGAUACCUGGUUCUGAUCUUCCGCCAUAAUUUAAUAAUUUAGUUUAUUGGUGGCCUACUUUCGAAGUAUAAAUUCUGCAGUAAAAUUAUAGUCAAUUCGUCUUUAAAAGUUUGUGCUCGUUAGAGAAUAUGUUCCUGUUAGUAAAUUAUCAGCAUAAAAAUUCCGAAUAAAGACCUGGUUGCUAUUAGAGAAACUGUCGCUGUAAUUUUCAUCCAGCUAUCGCAAUACUCGAGUCAAUAAUAAAAGUGCAUGUAAUUCCUUAAGUUAUAAUAUUCAAUUCUUAAAUCUUAAGUGGUUUUGUUUUGUAUAAUCUCCAAAAUAUGCGCAGAAAACGAUUAUCUUCUUUAUUGACAAGUAUUUGUCAAUAUAUUUUUUCGAUAUCAACUGAUAAAACAUAUUCAUGUUUACGAAAUCUAAUUAUUAUUGAAAAUGAAUCCUGUUGUAUUGUUGAUCCGAUAUAUUAUAUGUUGUUAAUAAAUAAUAAAUAAUCCUGAUAUAAUCUUAGCAGAAUCAUCAAAUAUAACGCGUAAUUUAGAAGUAGUACUAAAUUAUUUAAAUACUGCAUAAUGUGGCAAAAAAUUUAUUGAAUUCAGGAUUUUUAAUUUCACGCAUAUAUACUAGUGUUUCGUAUUCCGUCAUGAAUUCUGUGUAUUGCUAUUUUCCGGAUGUUUGUCCGGAUAUUGUUUCUGCCCAAGUGAUAAGAAUCUUUUAUAUGCUUGUUCUUGAGAAUCCCCUAAUUUCCGUUUUUUUAAACGGAAUUCUUAUAACAAAGUGUCUUAUAACACAGUCACAAAUAAUAUUCUGUACGAAAUAUUAUUCAAGCUGUCAAAUUACAAUUUAAGUUGCAAACACAAUCAGUUCUAUCCUUAUAUCUCUUCGGUUGCUACAUAUAAAUGAUUUCGUCGAGUUCUUCAUAAAGAAAAACCAUCUUGAUAUCAAAUUUGCUGCAGAUAUAUUUUGUUCGAGACUGUGAUAGAUAUCCUUUAUUGAAUUAAAUCUAGCUACAGGACUAAAUAUUUCAAUUUUAUAAUAGUCGACUCCGGCAAUUUAUUUAAAACCUUAUGUAACGAAUCUUUCCUUGACUCAUUGUAUGCUUCUAUCGUUAUUCAUUUUCAGUAGACCUAAUGAAUUACUAAUGGAUUACUAAUAUCCAUGUUUGAGUUUUUUUCAAGAAAUCGAUUUCAUCAUUCAUGACUUCUUUCCAUUUGAUUGCAUUGCUAUAUGUGAUUGCAUCAUAGUUUUUCAGUUCAUGGUGUUCUAUGAUUACAAUGUUUCCGUACAUGAGUCUAUCGGCAUAUACUAUCUCUUUCUGACUCUCAAAUACCGGUUUUGUUCAUAUUGUUUUUUAUUUUUUGGAUCGUCUGAUUCUUUAUCUUGUCAUUUUCUCAUUGUUUUCCGAUUAAAUAACGAUUCGACAUCUAUUUUAAUUUUUUCGACCUUCUAAUGUUCAAAGAUUAUGAUGUUCGACUCUGAUUCCCAUUCUUUAUCUGAAUUAUUUUUGCAGUGCUGGUUUGUGAAUUUUAUUCUGACGUAUUGUCCCCUUUCAGGAAGCCAAUUCGAAAUUUUUUUAUGUUUUCAUCAUACUCGAUGCCUUUUUCGACUUUGACAUUCUAUUUUCGUCUUUUUUUUUUUUUUAGAUAUGGAACUAUACUUCUUUCCGAAAGUUCUGACGCUCGAGACGUUUAAUCUCUUCUUGAAUCAAUGGAUACUCCUUUUUUUCCACUGAUUCCAGUUCUGUUUAAAGUAUAGACGGUAUAUUUAAUUGCCACAACUCAUAUUAUGAAACAAGAACAAUAUAUACAAAAAAAUUUCCUUUUCAAAGAAUCGAAAUGAAGAAAUAUUUCAAAGAGUUAUCCAACGUUUAGAAACACAUGAAAUUUUCAUAAAAAUAAUGUAGAAAAAUCCAGAAUACCGAAGACUUUUGCCGCAGAAGAAACAGUGCUUCGGAAUGUAGAAAAUCCUAAUUCUAGCACCAGAAAAAUAGCAAGAAGAGAAGAAAUUUAUCAUUUUCUAUAUGGGAAAUAUUGAAGAAAAAUGAUUUACAUUCUUUUCAUCAUCAGAAAAUGAAAGAGUUAACUUCGGCUAAUUAUGUUCAAGAUUAUUAUUUUGUUCAGAAAUACAAUUUUCAUUGAACAUAUAUUAUUUACGAACGAAGCUAUAUUUAUAAGAGUUGAUAUUUAAUACAUUAUAUGGCAAAAUAUAAAAUACUCAUGGACAAUCAAAAAUCCUCAUUCCAUAAUACACCAAAAUUUUUAAUAACAAUUUUUCGUAAAUAUAUGGCUGGAUAUAUUAUAAAAAAAAAAGACAUUGAUAGAACUACAUUUCUUGCCGUUACAAUUAACUGAGAAACAUAUUUUUGAAAAAAGAAUUGAUGUUCUUCUUGUUGAAGUAAAUUUAAAUGUAUUAAAAAAUUUAUGUUUAUGCACGAAAUUUAUGUUUAAGGCUUCGGCAUAUUUUUGUAAUAACAUGAAAAGAAUUUUAAAUGAAAAGUUUAGUAACAAAUGAAUCGAUCGUGGAGAACUAAUAAAUCCGCUAGAUUUUUGUCUACUUAAAAAAAUUUUGGAAUUACUUAAAAAUUUGAUAUAUAGAAAUAAAAUUGAAAAUGAAAAUAUUUUAAAAAAGAACAAUAAUCUAAAUAAAUAUAAAGAUAUAAAAAAUAAUUCAAGACUAAUAAAAGAAAUUAGAAAGAAUUUCAUUUUAAAUGAAAAGAAUAUAAUUAUGUAUCAAAGAAAAUGGAUAAUGUUUAAAGAUUUAAAAAAUAAAUAUGAAAUGCUAAAAAAUAAUUUAAUUAUAAAUUAAUUUUCUAUUCUUUUUGUUUUGUAAUAAAAAGUAAAAUUAUUUAAUUUAUAAAAUAUUUAAUGGUAAUGAAAUGAAAUUCUAUAUACAAAUGUAAGCAUACAAUAAUACUACAUACAAUAGUAAGCAUAAUAAACAAAUGGUAUGAAAAAAUGUAGAAGUAAGAAAAAAUAUGAAGAAGUAAACAAAAUUAAAAUAAAUUAUUUAAUUUAAAUAAUAGUGUUAACUUUUUCGUUAUUUGGUCCGUAUGUCACAUGAGCAAAUUAAAUUUUACAUAUAUUGUAUUAUAUAAUAUUUGGAUCUUACAUCAAUAAACCAUUUUUAUUAUGAUAUAAUUUUUAAAUAUUUUCUAUUUUACAUAAUCAUUGCUUAGUAAACGAAAGCAUUAUCAUUCAUGGAUAUUACCUUCAAAUAAAAAUAAUAUUUAAUUUAAUAAUAUAUAAUAAGAUUAAUUUUUUAUUGCUAAUUUUUAUCAUUGACACUAUUCUUCAAAUAAUUUCAGAUAUAGAAAUUAAACGGAUAAAGUUCUGGAGACCUAUAUGAUCACUUUAUUGGAUUUCCAUUGAUCUAUCUUUUUUAAAAUCUUUCUCGUUAUCGCAAAAAUAUACCGAUGCCUCAUCAUAACAAAAAAAAAAAAACAAAAAUAAGUUUCCCCAGUUAAAAGCAAGAAAUAUGAUCCUAUCAAUUUAUUGCCUAAUAUACAUAUAUUUAUCAAAAAAUGUCUUUGAAAAUUUUUUUACAUUAAUACGAUUUCUUAUUUAUUCUUAUGUUAUACUAAAUAUUCCUCCUCUUAUAUGAUUUUGUAAAUAAUAUUUGUUUAAUAACAAUUGUAUCUUCGGUACAUUUUCUUUAUAUUUGCAAAUAAAAUUUUUAUAAAUAACUAUUGAUUGGAAUUAACUCUUUUACUAAAAAAAUAUAAUUCAGUUUCCUUUAAUAUGGAAAAUUCUUUAUAUUUUUACUAUUAUUCUUUAUAUUUUUUUCUUGUACUAGAAUUAAGAUUAUUAAGAUUGUUAAGAUUAUCUUCUAUUACGAAGUACUGCUUCUUCCAGCGGAAUUUCUCGAUUUUCUUGCUGUUAAAGUCGAAGCUAGUGAACAAUAUUGAUUCUAACUGUAUUCUGAUGUACACUGUAUUGUCGUCGAAUUCUAUCUGUUCUACUUUCUAUUUCUAUAUCAACUCAAUUGCAAGACUAUCGUCUUGGUUUUUUCUUCAAUCCUUCUUUUUCAGGAAUAAUGCACAUAGAGAGGGGAUUGGAAAGACCAAUGGCGCUGAAGGGCGGCCUCAAAGGAUGGUCCUUUGCGGAGUUGCGUCGCAGCGCGUGGGGAUCAGAAUCUUCGCGCUCAUUCUCACGGUGGUCCAUCGCAUGGCGUGCAAAUAUGGCUCGUGAAAUGGCUAUUCCUGUAAUAUCUUUGUUUAAAUUAAAGAUCUGGAAAACGUAAGGGAAACCAUGUCUGUUCAUAAAUUAUUGUCAGGCUAUUCGAAUUAUUGAAAACACAGGCCAGAUGUAUCUGACUGAUUCAUAAGCUUCCUUUUUAACAUCUGCAUUAACAGUAUAUUUAAUUAGUACAAGGCAUUUAUAAUUAUUUUUUCAUUCACUAUUCAACAAAAUGAAAAACGCUCUGCAUAAUACUAUUUUUUAUUCUAAAUAUGUAAUAUUAUAAUUCGUUGCUUUGUACACAUAAUUUCCGUCCGCUUUUCUGUAAAUUUCAACCAUGUCAUCAUUUUUAAAAUUAUAAACACAUAUAUAAAAUUAUAAUAAUAUAUUUUAUAACAUAUAAUAUAAUUAUAUGUACAUAUAUACAUAUAUGUAAUACAAAUAUGUUAUAUAUGUAUAUAAAAUUAUAUACAUAUAAACAUAUAUAUAAAAUUAUAAUAACGUAUAAUAUAUUAUAUAACAUAUAAUUAUAUAACAUAUAUAGUUGUUAAUUGUUAUUGUGAAAAUAUUUUAAUAUUUGAAAAUGUUUAUUACAAAUUUAAAAAUAAAUUUAUUACAAAUUAAUGAACUGUAAAUAUGUUGAAAGUCAUUCUUAACAUGUUAAAAAAACUAAAAGUAAAUGUAAAUAAUUUUUAUAUGAAAUAACAUGUAAAGAAUUAAAAAUAAAAUGAAAAAUUAUUUCAUACAAUAAAAUAUAAUUAUAACAAAAUA